GUUUGUGUGAGCAGGUGUGCACGUGUGUGGGGGCAGGUGUACACAUGUGUACGUAUGUGAAGGCAGGUGUGCACGUGUGUCUGAGUGUGAGCAGGUGUGCAUGUGAAUGUGGGCAGGUGUGCAUAUGUGUGGGCAGGUGUGCACAUGUGCAUGUAUGUGUGGGCAGGUGUGCACAUGUGUAUGUGAAGGCAGGUGUGCACGUGUGUCUGAGUGUAAGCAGGUGUACAUGUGUGUGGGCAGGUGUGCACAUGUGUAUGUAUGUGUGGGCAGGUGUGCACAUAUGUAUGUAUGUGAAGGCAGGUGUGGACGUGUGUCAGUGUGAGCAGGUGUGCACGUCUGUGUGCAUGUGAGUAGGUGUGCACAUGUUUAGGCAGGUGUGCACAUGUGUAUGUGUGUAAGCAGGUGUGCAUAUCUGUGAGCAGGUGUACACAUGUGUAUGUAUGUGAAGGCAGGUGUUCACGUGUGUCUGAGUGUGAGCAGUUGUGCAUGUGUGUGGGCAGGUGUGCCUGUGUCUGUGUGAGCAGGUGUGCACAUAUGUGUGUAUGUGAAGGCAGGUGUGGACGUGUGUUUGAGUGUGAGCAGGUGUGCACGUCUGUGUGCAUGUGAGUAGGUGUGCACGUUUAGGUGUGCACAUGUGUAUGUG
Molecule: long non-coding RNA, 643 nt
Filed under: Homo sapiens (human)
Lineage: Eukaryota; Metazoa; Chordata; Mammalia; Primates; Hominidae
Description: HSALNT0068256
Source: RNAcentral